This 181-nucleotide unclassified non-coding RNA is filed under the name uncultured Ascomycota. Its description in RNAcentral is "sequence contains ITS2". Lineage: Eukaryota; Fungi; Ascomycota. The record is from RNAcentral.
UCAUCACUCAAGCAAUGGCUUGGUAUUGGGCGAUUUGUCCAAAAACCCCCAAACAUUUCCGGGAUGGACAAGCCUGAAAGUUAGCGGCGGUGCAGCCAGUCCUCGAGCGCAUUAAUUCAUAUCGCUUCGAGUUUUGUCUGGAGUUUUGCUCCUGCCGGAUAAUCAAGUAAAAAAUUUCUAU